Molecule: unclassified non-coding RNA, 239 nt
Filed under: soil metagenome
Description: partial contains 5.8S ribosomal RNA, internal transcribed spacer 2, and large subunit ribosomal RNA
Rfam family: 5.8S ribosomal RNA (bases 1-115)
Source: RNAcentral
GAUGAAGAACGUAGCGAAACGCGAUAUUUCUUGUGAAUUGCAGAAGUGAAUCAUCAGUUUUUGAACGCACAUUGCACUUUGGGGUAUCCCCCAAAGUAUACUUGUUUGAGCGUUGUUUCUCUCUUGGAAUUGCUUUGCUCUUCUAAAAUUUCGAAUCAAAUUCGUUUGAAAAACAACACUAUUCAACCUCAGAUCAAGUAGGAUUACCCGCUGAACUUAAGCAUAUCAAUAAGCGAGGA